CAGUUACGUCUUCGUCAUUGUUAAGGCGGGGUCUCUUUACCGUUUAGCUAAUUUCCUGCCUGACGACAGAAAAGAACGGCAGAACUGGCAAUAAAUCUUCGACGAUUAGACUUCGUAGACCGACUGUAGACAAUUCGAAAGAUGGUGCGUCCACAGUUUGGACCCCCACGCAUGAAGCCCAGCAGAUCAUAUGGAGAUGGUCAUAGAAGUGGCCCCAGAGAAGGUAAUUACUCUCCUAAUUCAAAACCAAGAAGAGACACCCACAGCCCCCCAGGAAAACCCAGCGGCAACUGGAGAGAGUCAAGGGGUCGAGGUCGACCCCCACCCGACAGAAAAGUUCCACCAAUGGAAGACCACAGAGAGCCACGCUUCAAUAACUGGAGGCAACACAAUCAGGAUUCCUAUCAAUCAUAUCCUCACAAAAUGGAAGCACAUCACAACCAGAGGAGACCGCCUUCGUCCAGACCAAACCGCUCUCCUCAUGCCCAGCAUCAAUCCCGCAGUCCUGCUCAAGGGUCGCCAGGCCACAGGGGCCCGGCUCCCCACGGCCACUCCUCAGCUCACAGGUCACCCUCCCCGAGACAUUUUCGCGGCCAUCCCGGUGACAAGAGGCCUGGCCCUGCACCAGCCUUUCAAGGUUCUUUCAGGGAGUCCAAAAGACAGCCAGCUUUCCCUCCCCAGGAGCAGAGGUAUCGACCCCCCCGUGGGGAUGUUAGUCCAAGAGAGAGGCCCUUUGUGGAAGACAAGAAGCGAUGGAACAACACCGGAGCGUUCUUCCAUCCGCACAAUGGGCAACACGGGCCUCCAGGGCCUCAUCGCAGCCCAAGAGAGAUGCAUGGAAGAGGCUCGUGUCCAGAGAGGUGGUCAUCAGAGCAAGACUCCAGAAGACAGCGUGGUCCCAUGGAGAGGCAGGGCGGCAGACCCCACAACAUGCAGAGUGCAAAAGAUGUCCCUCGUCAGCCCCUUUUCAGACCCCCUCCGCCUUGGAAGGGAGUCCCGCCGCCACCAUCGUCCUUCCACAGGAGCCCCCAGGACAGACAACUGAAUGUCCCCCGCAAGAGGAGAAUAUCAGACGUCAGCAUGUCCUCAUCCAGCCCGCCUCAGGAUCACAGCGGCCCUAAGUUCCCCAGGAGAGAGAGAGUUCCCCUCCUCAGUAUUCCCAGACCAUUCGGUGCUAGACCAUUGUCACUAAGAGAGAAAAGUUUGAUAUUUAAAGGCAGGCAAAUGAGAUUUGACCCUCCCAUGAGACUUAGAAAUCCUCCACCCUUUAGACCCAGGCCACAGAUGGAUGACAUUCCGUCUCGGGGACCUCCCAGCUCUGUUCUCGCUCUAAGAAAGAAGCGUUUCCAGCCUAAUCCGUUACCCCUGAAAAGGCUGCAACCGAGGGAAGCAAGAUCGAAGCAGUCCCCCGGCAGAGAUGACGAUGCAAGCAGCUCCCUGCGAGAGACUAAUACCAGAAAAGAAAAGGUGGAGUCUCGUCGCUCCUUGAAUACACACAGGUACGGUAUUUUCCUUCUUGCACUCUUCGCAGGGCUUGAUGAUUUGGGAGGUUUGAUGAUGACGCCACAUGUGAAAAAUGGAGAAGACGCGAUGCAUAAAAUUCUGUGGCACAGUCCCUCUGCCCCCUCGCUGUCUACGUUCUGCAUUUUCCAUAACGAGAUGACGUUUAUGCUCCCCGUACCAUGAAAACAGCUUUCCAAGUCUGUCACAAAAUGUAUAUCAGCGCUCCUGAAGCACUCCCAAGUUCUGUCAGUUCUCCCAAAUAUGAAAGGAGUCUCCCUCCGGUUGCAAAGCGUUCCUCGGCCUCUCGAAUCACACAGAUUUGGAAGAGGACAAGUCCUGUUCAGAUACAAGGCAUGUUUAAAACAUUUUAAAAGACAAGCUAGCCAGCUUCAGUGCUAUGGAUGAUGCUGAAAUGAAAAACCUACUGUAACUAGAAGAUGUACUGCUGAAUUCUCAAGCAACAUCUCCAUGAAACAUUAUCAUAACCAAUUCUGUGUCACACAGACAAAAAUGGGUGCCGGAAGAGGAAAAUAACAUUUCGUCUGCAGAAUGACUUGAUUUUUGACUGGUAAAAGAUUCCGAGAAGAAACGAAAGACCCCGAUGACCACUGCUAAUACUCAUGAUUACUACAAGAACAGAAGAGGUCUGCUUCUCUGCAUCCAUGAGCACUCUAAAGAAUCAUUUUACACGAGACCCUAAGACAAGUCCAAGCUGGAGCUCAAAAUAGCUUUCUGUAACGAAGACUGCCACUAUAUUACAGUAUAAACCCACGGUUAUGAGAGCAUUUCACCUGUGAAUAUAAUACUGCAAGCCUAAGCCAAAACUGUUUUACCCAGCGUCGCCAAAGCAAUAGCUACAUAGCUACAGACUGAAAUGUCCCCUUAUCAUCCAAACAGCAUAGCUGCGACUGAAAUGUCACCUUAUCGUCCAAAUACCGUAGCUGUGACCACUGAUGGGAGUUCCAUGAUUCCAUCUUAACAGUAUGAAUACGUCUGGGCCAAAAAUUGGCAUGGUCUCAUACUUCAUGUUUCCACUCUUUUGCACCCAAGCUUGCCCUUUUGUAUUUCUAAAAGCCGAUGGAAAAGAUCUGAACCAAUGCCAUGUGCAUGUGAUGUCUUUCCGGCAAAAGAAGAGGAAUGUACUUCACCAUUUGCGCUGCUCGACUCCAAUUUCCGAGAUGAAGCCAAUAUAUAUGCUAAUGGAAUCAUCUCUUAACACCAAAAGUGCAGCCGGAAGUUGGACCGCCCCUCUCUCUAAACUUAAAGAAGCCUUUACAACUUCCCUCAUUUGAAUUCAGCUGAUAAAGUAGACCAAGUGGCAUCAGUGUGAGGCAAAAACAUCUGAGGAGCAACAACCCCAUCCCAAAAUACGGAUUGAAGAUUUGUUGACUCAAUGUAUUACGAUAACCACCCGACCGAUCGCUUUAACGAUCACUGCGUAACCGAAGAGAAAACUCGGGUGUAUUGCGAGUGCAAUUAUAGGAGUACAGGAGCAUGGACAUUCCAUGGUUUUAUCGUCUCCCAUUGAGAAACGCGACCUUGUUGUCGUCUCUCACUGGGCGGCCGGCCCGAGUACAUCUAAGGAGGACUCUCCUGCCAAAGACUGUAGCCCAAAGUCAAAGACAGACACUUCUUUGAGCAACCGAUCAGUGAAAGCUGAA
Corythoichthys intestinalis (scribbled pipefish) is the source of this 3164-nucleotide RNA transcript. RefSeq lists it as uncharacterized. The record is from RefSeq and is a predicted model, not a curated record. The transcript is spliced from 6 exons. NCBI's taxonomy places the organism in Eukaryota, Metazoa, Chordata, Actinopteri, Syngnathiformes, Syngnathidae.